This is a long non-coding RNA of Oxyura jamaicensis (ruddy duck), 3027 nucleotides long. RefSeq lists it as uncharacterized. The transcript is spliced from 3 exons. The record is from RefSeq and is a predicted model, not a curated record. NCBI's taxonomy places the organism in Eukaryota, Metazoa, Chordata, Aves, Anseriformes, Anatidae.
UCUGUAUAGAAACAAAAAAAUUUGGAAAGGACUAUGCCAGAACUUGUGAAGGGAUACCGCACUGCUCUUUGACAUAUGCUGGAUGUCACAUGGAGUCCUUCAGGGAAGAAAUCUGUUCUUCCCAAAGGGUCUGGAAGACAACUAUCAAGCCCAGCAGUUCAGAAGCCACAGCUUUCUUGUACAAUUUUGGCCAUGCAACUUCAUCUUCAUAGCUCUCCCUUGCAUCUCUGCAAUUUGUGCUAACUCCUUCUGCGCUCAGUGACGGAGAACCAUAUGCAAGAAGCCUGAAGAAGCUCAGCAUGUUUAGACCAGCAGAAAAGAGCUUCAAGCAAAGACGUGAUUCUCUGUAAAUACGUUAGGGUAAGCACCAGGGAAGGAUAAGGACUAUUUAAGCUAAUGGAUGAUGUUGUGAGCUAUUACGGCAGUAUGUUUGCAGACUUCUGGAAAAACAUCCCUUCAUAGUCCCUUCACUUCUGGAAAGAUUUCUCUGUCAGCAUGGGGUUAGAAAUCAUCCCCUCUCCUUUUUUUCUUCCUCAAAUGAAAGAUUUCAGUCUUGUAUGCAAUUCUGCAGCAGGUGGUCAAUGCAGAAAGUGGAACAACUGAGGAAUUAAAAGAAUGAUUAUACCAAGUAUCCUGCUAUUAAGUCAUUCUGCGAAUCAUACCUACUGUAUGAUAAAAUAAAACACAGCAAGGAUCUUUUUAACCCAUGAAAUUUCAUAACACAUCCCAGUCCCACCACUGCAGUACCUCUGGGAUGGUCAGACACACCAAAAUGUUUGUAUGGCUGAGAGCCACCAGCCAUGCAGCCCGGAGGCAAGUGAUCUCCAGAAUAGCUCCCAGGCAGAAGGUGGCAGCUGUUUGCUGUGGCUCCCAUUGCCCCACUGCGUGUCAGGACUGAGCUGGGCAUGAAAGGACUCUAAACAGAGCUGGGUGACAGUCUCAGCAGCCCCAGGUGUCUGCCCUUCCCCAGUGGCAAAGUGUUGGGGCUGCUCUGCUGCCCUUCUGCCAUCACAGUUCCCCUUUUCCACAUGAUAUUCCAGGAAGGGCACCACAUUUCUCCCCAAAAUCUUACAAGCUAUAAAAAGGCCAUGUUACUCAUAAAACUAUAUGUCAUCACUAUAGCACCACUCAAUCAAAGAUCUCUGGGUGCUUUUUAAAGUACUAAUUCACUUUUAGCAUUUGAGGGCUGUCAGUGCUUGUUUUAUAGCCAAGCUGAGCAGCUAUCCUUACAGAAACAGCGCUGAGCAUGGUACCUACACUUCUGGUUGACUUCUGGUGCCACCGAGUGGUCCUUCAGUCAAGAAAGCAGCUUGGCCAGGAUUACACUGAAGCAGAGCCAUGAGCAGACAGCUUCCAGCUCCUUGCAGGGCUGGUACUUUUGUGCUACAUUCAUUGCUUUACGUGGUGAUGGUAAGGGUGGCGCCUGGGUUUGGCUAGCUAUUGAUACUGUGCACAGUUGACAACAUUAGGAACACAGGUAUGGAUUUACCCACAGGUGCAUAAUAUGUGUCUCAGAGAAGAGAAAUGACACCCUCCUAAUAAGUAAGAGCAGUAAAGUGCAGAAAAAAUAAACCAUGUAACUGCUAACAAGGUCAUUGGAGCAGUCCUUAAAACAAAUUAAAUCUGUCUCCAUCAACACCUAACUAAUGGUUGGUCAUCUUCUUUUUGUAUUGUGCCUCUGCAGACACACCCUGUUCUUGCAUGUUUGCUGAUUCCUGCUACAGGUGAUGUAAUAAUACAAAAUUUACAUAUCGAUUAACAAUUACCUUGAAGUUUACUCGCACCUUGAGGAGAGACAGUGGAACGCCACACAGAUAUGUAGGGUCCAUUAAGCCCACAACAUACUAAAUAUUAGAAUUAAAAACUGGGGGGGUUCAUUUUUGCUGGGUCAAUGUCACAACCUAGAUCCUGGAAAACUGCCAUUUUCACAGCAGUUAGGGUACAAAGUAUUAUUCCAGACACUAACAGCCACUGCUCAACUGUCCCUAUUUACUUCAGAUUUGAAAAACAACUGGGCUUAUUCUGGUUAUCAAAAAAUAUUCUGUUUGUUCUCAUGCCUCACUACAUUAGCUUCACUGCAUCUGAGAAUCCUCCAUCUUCCCCUACUGCUCUCAGCAUUUGUCACCCCAGUGUGCCUUCACUGCUGGCUCCAGGAAAACUGCCCUUCCUGUCCCUGUCCCUGUCCAUGCCUCUCGACCCUGUCUCCAGACACUGGUUUCUGUACCAGAGCCCCCCUCCUUGCCCCUUAUGGGACUCACUCACACAUGGGAGCAGUGUAAUUCAGCAAAGGUGGUGAAUGCAUUUUCUUUCCCAGAGGAAUGCAUUACCGCUGAACACCCAGCUAUCACAGUGUCUUUAGUAAUGCCUCUCUGAAUAGAAAACACAUAGAGGUGGAAAAAUAAUGUAGUAAUAUAAAUGAAUAAAGUUCUCCCUUUUUGCCUAGUUUCCUAUGGUAAUUAUUAAACUUUUCUAAAUUAAUUUACUGAGGUCUUCAUAUCCUCUACUAUGCAUUAAGCUUCAUUAUUACAAAAUAUUACAGAUCUUUUAUCAUCUCUGACUGCUUGUUUUCAGUUUAACAAGAAUAAUAAAGGGACCAAUUGCUGGGAAUGAGACAGGCAUACACAAUGUUCUUAAGCUUACUAAUUUUUGUUGUGCACCGAGCAUUAUCCAGACUUCCUCGUCGGCUGACAAAUGUCUCCACUGAUCUUUUUUCCUGUCCUUUCUCUGGGGAGCACAAAGCAUAUUCUCACGUGAGUUUCUGAAGAACCUCACAAGUGGAGCAUUCAUUUACCCUCCUGGCUUUUAACUACCUGAAAUUAAAGCAAGCCUAAGUCACUGCGAGUCAUCUGAACAGUGAAUCACAGACUCCAUGACAAGUUUCUAGACAUACAAGUAUCAGUCACUCCUUCAGAGCUCUCUGAAAGAUGUCUGUCUUAAUUGCUUCUGCCACAACAAGGUCCAAACAUAUGAGAGCUAUGUCAUACUAACCAGGAUUAGGCCACGAGGUGGGCAAGAAGAACCCCAUGA